GGGAUUGUGUCUUAAAGGUAGAGGGCUUGCCUAAGAUGCAGGAAACCCUGGGAUCGAUUCCUAGGUCCUG
Molecule: non-coding RNA, 70 nt
Organism: Dipodomys ordii (Ord's kangaroo rat)
Lineage: Eukaryota; Metazoa; Chordata; Mammalia; Rodentia; Heteromyidae
Source: Rfam